This is a long non-coding RNA of Empidonax traillii (willow flycatcher), 679 nucleotides long. RefSeq lists it as uncharacterized. The transcript is spliced from 5 exons. Lineage: Eukaryota; Metazoa; Chordata; Aves; Passeriformes; Tyrannidae. The record is from RefSeq and is a predicted model, not a curated record.
CCCUGUGCCCCACGAGCAGGUGUGAGAGGCACUCCCUGGCACACAGGCAGGGAGCUGUGUGCGGGCUGUGGACCACAGAGGAGGCACAGGUUUCCCUUUGCAGGACUGAAGGACCACCUGGUUGUCAUCGUGUGCUACCAGAGAAGACCCCCAGUGCUCUCCAGAAAGCCUCUCUGCUGUCUGCUCUGCUGAGGCCAUUUCUAAUAAAGCCAAGUACAGAAAAGCAGAUUCAGCUUCCUCCAGAUGCACGGAGACAAGUCACUGUGCAUCUGGAGGUUUUAUUUCUGACUGUUCAGUAAAGAUGAGUGCUGGGACCGAGCAACUCCUGUGCAGUGGAUCCAUGCCCAGGCAACUGCCUGGGACCAAGCUGCAGGUUCCUCGGGAAGUAGAAGUUUUGCCAGUUCUCUGCAUCCUCCUCUGCCUCUGCCCCGGUGAGCCCUUCCUGCUGACACUUCAGGAUCCAGAGUGCAGCUCCAUCCACCAGGUUCUUCCACUGGCAGCAGACCAGGCGACACACCAGCACCAGCUCCACUGCAGGAAUUCCAGAGGCCCGGCGUGCUGAUGGAGCACCGCCGCUCCCCUCGUUAGCGAGCAUCCCCUGCGCUCGGGAGAGGGGAGGAGGUACCUUCCCUUUCCCACUGCGGUUCGCAGCAUCCUCCCUGGGACCGGUCUCUUCCCA